Molecule: ribosomal RNA, 251 nt
Filed under: uncultured bacterium
Lineage: Bacteria
Description: partial 16S ribosomal RNA
Rfam family: Bacterial small subunit ribosomal RNA
Source: RNAcentral
UACGAAGGGGGCUAGCGUUGCUCGGAAUGACUGGGCGUAAAGGGCGCGUAGGCGGCUUGGCAAGUCAGGCGUGAAAUUCCUGGGCUCAACCUGGGGGCUGCGCUUGAGACUGCUGGGCUUGAGGAUGGAAGAGGCUCGUGGAAUUCCCAGUGUAGAGGUGAAAUGCGCAGAUAUCAGGAGGAACACCGAUGGCGAAGGCAGGUCUCUGGGCAUUAACUGACGCUGAGGAGCGAAGCGUGGGAGCAAACAGG